Molecule: ribosomal RNA, 253 nt
Filed under: uncultured bacterium
Lineage: Bacteria
Description: partial 16S ribosomal RNA
Rfam family: Bacterial small subunit ribosomal RNA
Source: RNAcentral
UACGGAGGAUCCAAGCGUUAUCCGGAAUCAUUGGGUUUAAAGGGUCCGUAGGCGGUCUGAUAAGUCAGAGGUGAAAUCCUGCAGCUCAACUGUAGCAUUGCCUUUGAUACUGUUAGACUUGAGUUAUACGGAAGUAGAUAGAAUAAAUAGUGUAGCGGUGAAAUGCAUAGAUAUUACAUAGAAUACCGAUUGCGAAGGCAGAUUACUAACAAUAUACUGACGCUGAGGGACGAAAGCGUGGGUAGCGAACAGG